AUGCUCACUUCGGCAGCACAUAUACUAAAAUUGGAAUGAUACAGAGAAGAUUAGCAUGGCCCCUGCACAAGGAUGACACACAAAUUCGUGAAGCAUUCCAUGCUUUU
Molecule: small nuclear RNA, 107 nt
Filed under: Salvator merianae (Argentine black and white tegu)
Lineage: Eukaryota; Metazoa; Chordata; Lepidosauria; Squamata; Teiidae
Source: RNAcentral